Molecule: ribosomal RNA, 595 nt
Filed under: uncultured Gammaproteobacteria bacterium
Lineage: Bacteria; Pseudomonadati; Pseudomonadota; Gammaproteobacteria
Description: partial 16S ribosomal RNA
Source: RNAcentral
AUAUGGUCGACCUGCAGGCGGCCGCGAAUUCACUAGUGAUUCGUAUUACCGCGGCUGCUGGCCAUGAUCAAACUCUACGAAUUCCCGCGGCCGUCAUGGCACGGGAGUAUGAGGUUAGGGCCCAUUCGCCCUACUUAAAGUGCUUUACAAGACCUUCUUCACACACGCGGCAUGGCUGGAUCAGGCUUUCGCCCAUUGUCCAAUAUUCCCCACUGCUGCCUCCCGUAGGAGUCUGGACCGUGUCUCAGUUCCAGUGUGACUGAUCAUCCUCUCAGACCAGUUACGGAUCGUCGCCUUGGUGAGCCAUUACCCCACCAACUAGCUAAUCCGACCUAGGCUCAUCUGAUAGCGCAAGGCCCGAAGGUCCCCUGCUUUCUCCCGUAGGACGUAUGCGGUAUUAGCGUCCGUUUCCGAGCGUUAUCCCCCAGUACCAGUAAGAAUCCUAGGCAAUACUCACGCGUCCGCAGCUCUCCAUAUGGGCAAGCACCACUCUACCGCGAAUUCACUAGUGAUUCCUGCCGCCGCGUCUUCUGAGCCAUGAUCAAACUCUAAUCGAAUUCCCGCGGCCGCCAUGGCGGCCGGGAGCAUGCGACGU